CCUACGGGAGGCAGCAGUGGGGAAUAUUGCGCAAUGGAGGAAACUCUGACGCAGCAACGCCGCGUGGGUGAAGAAGGUCUUCGGAUUGUAAAGCCCUGUCGGGAGGGAAGAAAAGCACAUGGUGAAUGUGUCUGACGGUACCUUCGAAGGAAGCACUGGCUAACUCCGUGCCAGCAGCCGCGGUAAUACGGAGAGUGCAAACGUUGUUCGGAAUUAUUGGGCGUAAAGGGCGCGUAGGCGGCUUGGUAAGUCAGAUGUGAAAGCCCUGGGCUCAACCCGGGAAGUGCGUUUGAAACUGCUAAGCUUGAGUGCAGGAGGGAGAGGUGGAAUUCCAGGUGUAGGAGUGAAAUCCGUAGAUAUCUGGAGGAACACCGGUGGCGAAGGCGACCUCUUGGCCUGAAACUGACGCUGAGGCGCGAAGGCGUGGGUAGCAAACAGGAUUAGAUACCCUGGUAGUCCACGCGGUAAACGAUGCUCACUGGGUGCUGGUGGCAGACGCUGUCAGUGCCGUAGCUAACGCGAUAAGUGAGCGCGNGGAGGACGGUCGCGAGAGUAAACUAACGAAGAAGUAGACGGCGUGAGACGAGACGACGGACGACGACGAGGGAGGAGG
Molecule: ribosomal RNA, 613 nt
Filed under: uncultured bacterium
Lineage: Bacteria
Description: bacterial SSU rRNA
Rfam family: Bacterial small subunit ribosomal RNA (bases 1-534)
Source: RNAcentral